AGGUGCUGCACGGCUGUCGUCAGCUCGUGUCGUGAGAUGUUGGGUUAAGUCCCGCAACGAGCGCAACCCUCGUCACUAGUUACUAACAGUUAGGCUGAGGACUCUAGUGAGACUGCCUUCGUAAGGAGGAGGAAGGUGAGGACGACGUCAAGUCAUCAUGGCCCUUACGGCUAGGGCAACACACGUGCUACAAUGGUUAGGACAGUGAGAAGCGAUACCGCGAGGUGGAGCCAAUCUAUAAACCUAAUCUCAGUUCGGAUUGUAGUCUGCAACUCGACUACAUGAAGCUGGAAUCACUAGUAAUCGUAGAUCAGCUAUGCUACGGUGAAUACGUUCCCGGGUCUUGUACUCACCGCCCGUCACACCAUGGGAGUUGAUUUCACCCGAAGCGGGGAAGCUAAACUGGCUACCCUCCACGGUGGAAUUAGCGACUGGGGUGAAGUCGUAACAAGGUA
This 455-nucleotide ribosomal RNA is filed under the name uncultured bacterium. Its description in RNAcentral is "bacterial SSU rRNA". It matches the Rfam family "Bacterial small subunit ribosomal RNA", at positions 1036 to 1498 of the family's 1533-position model. The record is from RNAcentral.